This 27-nucleotide small RNA is filed under the name Bombyx mori (domestic silkworm). Its description in RNAcentral is "ovarian small RNA-24090". The record is from RNAcentral. Lineage: Eukaryota; Metazoa; Arthropoda; Insecta; Lepidoptera; Bombycidae.
UAUUACGAUGACAAAUAGCAUUAAAUG